Molecule: ribosomal RNA, 478 nt
Filed under: uncultured bacterium
Lineage: Bacteria
Description: partial 16S ribosomal RNA
Rfam family: Bacterial small subunit ribosomal RNA
Source: RNAcentral
GACGAACGCUGGCGGCGUGCUUAACACAUGCAAGUCGAACGGUAAGGCCCUUCGGGGUACACGAGUGGCGAACGGGUGAGUAACACGUGGGUGAUCUGCCCUGCACUUCGGGAGAAGCCUGGGAAACUGGGUCUAAUACCGGAUAGGACCCUGGGAUGCAUGUCCUGGGGUGGAAAGCUUUUGCGGUGUGGGAUGGGCCCGCGGCCUAUCAGCUUGUUGGUGGGGUGAUGGCCUACCAAGGCGACGACGGGUAGCCGGCCUGAGAGGGUGACCGGCAACACUGGGACUGAGAUACGGCCCAGACUCCUACGGGAGGCAGCAGUGGGGAAUAUUGCACAAUGGGCGCAAGCCUGAUGCAGCGACGCCGCGUGAGGGAUGACGGCCUUCGGGUUGUAAACCCCUUUCAGCACCGACGAAGCGCAAGUGACGGUAGGUGCAGAAGAAGGACCGGCCAACUACGUGCCAGCCGCCGCGGUAA